GAAAAAAUUCCAUCCAGCCCCGGGGAGGAGGGAGCGGGGCGGGGAGGCCGGGCCGGGGAGCGUGACGCAGGGAGGAGGGAAGGGACAAAAGGGGCCGGGAGGCGGUAGGGUGAGCCGGCAGCGCUCCCGCUCCUCCCUCCCUCCUCCCUCGGCCGGGGCCAGUUCUCUACUCUCCGCUUUCUUUCGUACCCUCCACCUCUCCUCCCUUUCCUUCACUCUGCCGGCCUCCUCCUGGCCCUGUGCUCCCCCCACCCCACCCCCCGCCCCCGUGUCUCCGUCUCCGCGUCUCUCUUUCUCCUUACAUCACGCCCACCCCCUCCACCCCAAUCAGGGUCUUCUCCUCUCCUCGCUCUGUCUCCCCCUUUCUGCUCUCCCAGCCUCCUUCCCCUCCCUCCGCUUCGGUCCCUCCACCCGCCCACCCACUGGGGGACAGAAAGGUGAAUCAGACCCAGAUCUGCCCUUGCAGACCGAGCUCACAGUCUGAUGGAGGAGACAGACCCAGACGCAGACAGUUCCAAUCCUGGGCGAUCGGGGAAGACACAGUGAGAGACUGGCUGUCUGCAAGCCAGGAAACACCGCCUCACCAGGGAACUGAAUCAACCAGCCCCUUGCUCUUGGACUUUUCAGCCUCCAGGACUGUGAGAAAUAAAUUCCUUUUGGUUUAAGCCUCCCAGAUUUGGUAUUUCAUUAUGAUAGCCUGAACCGACUAAGACACUGGUCCUUAUUUCGUUCUACAGCAGGUUUUGGUCACUUUUAUUGUAUAUUAAUGGGCAUCAGAGAAGGACUUGCUAAAAAACAC
Bos taurus (domestic cattle) is the source of this 799-nucleotide long non-coding RNA. NCBI's taxonomy places the organism in Eukaryota, Metazoa, Chordata, Mammalia, Artiodactyla, Bovidae. The record is from Ensembl.